AUGACUAGGGAUAACCUUAGGAAGAGACACAUCAUCAAACCCCUUGAUUGUGUUUACUGCUUGGAACAAGAGUCUUGUUCUCACCUAUUUUUUGAAUGUAUAGUUGCUAAACAUCUCUGGGCCCACAUUGAGGAAUAUUUCUCUAGUCAGAUUGGCUCAUCCUUCGAAUCUGUCGCCAGAUUCUGGAUUGCUACCAAAAGUGCCGUUUUAAACACUGUUAGCUCAACUGUCCUUUGGUGCCUCUGGAAAUAUAGAAAUGCUAUGAUUUUCAGUAACACCUCCUGGAUUUCCAUUCCGCAGGUCUUGAGGUUGAUCAGGAACUUGGUGAGGAACUGGGCGAUUCUCUCCUCCGGAUCGGACAAGGACAAGUUGAUGGGCUUCGUGGAAACCCUAACACGAUCCCUCCAGAAACCAUUGGCGAUCACUUGUGGUUGA
Molecule: ribosomal RNA, 435 nt
Filed under: Triticum aestivum (bread wheat)
Lineage: Eukaryota; Viridiplantae; Streptophyta; Magnoliopsida; Poales; Poaceae
Description: partial small subunit ribosomal RNA
Source: RNAcentral